RNAcentral lists this ribosomal RNA (492 nucleotides) under uncultured bacterium. RNAcentral's name for it is "partial 16S ribosomal RNA". It matches the Rfam family "Bacterial small subunit ribosomal RNA", at positions 29 to 507 of the family's 1533-position model. The record is from RNAcentral.
AGUGAACGCUGGCGGUAGGCCUAACACAUGCAAGUCGAACGGCAGCACAGUAAGAGCUUGCUUUUCCGGGUGGCGAGUGGCGGCCGAGUGAGGAAUACAUCGGACUCUACUUUUUCGUGGGGGAUUCCGUAGGGCAACUUACGCUAAUACCGCAUACGACCUACGGGUGAAAGCAGGGGAUCUUCGGACCCUGCGCGAUUGAAUGCGCCGAUGUCGGAUUAGCUAGUUGGCGGGGUAAAGGCCCACCAAGCCGACGGUCCGUAGCUGGUCUGAGAGGAUGAUCUGCCCCCCUGGAACGGAGCCACGGUCCAGACCCCUACGGGAGUGAGCAGUGGGGAAUUUUGGACAAUGGGCGCAAGCCUGAUCCAGCCCUACCGCGUGGGUGAAGAAGUCCCCCGCGUUGUAAAGCCCUUUUGUUGGGAAAGAAAAGCAGCAGGUUAAUACCCCGCUGUUCUGACGGUACCCAAAGAAUAAGCACCGGCUAACUUCGUG